GGCCUCAGCAAGUGAUGAUGGAAC
Molecule: non-coding RNA, 24 nt
Filed under: Arabidopsis thaliana (thale cress)
Lineage: Eukaryota; Viridiplantae; Streptophyta; Magnoliopsida; Brassicales; Brassicaceae
Source: RNAcentral